RNAcentral lists this ribosomal RNA (253 nucleotides) under uncultured bacterium. Its description in RNAcentral is "partial 16S ribosomal RNA". It matches the Rfam family "Bacterial small subunit ribosomal RNA", at positions 524 to 776 of the family's 1533-position model. The record is from RNAcentral.
UACGUAGGGGGCAAGCGUUGUCCGGAAUCAUUGGGCGUAAAGAGCGUGUAGGUGGCCCGGUCAGUCCGCCGUGAAAGUCCAGGGCUCAACCCUGGAAUGCCGGUGGAUACUGCCGGGCUGGAGUCCGGAAGAGGCGAGUGGAAUUCCUGGUGUAGCGGUGAAAUGCGCAGAUAUCAGGAGGAACACCAAUGGCGAAGGCAGCUCGCUGGGACGGUACUGACACUGAGACGCGAAAGCGUGGGAAGCAAACAGG